GGGCUCGUAGCUCAGCCUGGUAGAGCGCCCGCCUUGCACGCGGGAGGCCUCGGGUUCAAAAGCAACGGGUCCG
This 73-nucleotide transfer RNA is filed under the name Candidatus Woesearchaeota archaeon. Its description in RNAcentral is "tRNA-Ala". It matches the Rfam family "tRNA". From Rfam's summary of the family: Transfer RNA (tRNA) molecules are approximately 80 nucleotides in length. Their secondary structure includes four short double-helical elements and three loops (D, anti-codon, and T loops). Lineage: Archaea; Nanobdellati; Candidatus Woesearchaeota. The record is from RNAcentral.